Molecule: ribosomal RNA, 657 nt
Filed under: Triticum aestivum (bread wheat)
Lineage: Eukaryota; Viridiplantae; Streptophyta; Magnoliopsida; Poales; Poaceae
Description: partial small subunit ribosomal RNA
Source: RNAcentral
AUGAUGCAUGUAAUCGCAGAGUUCUAUGGAUCUGAGAUGAUGGUGCCGUUCGGACCAAAGACAAUAACAAAUCUUUGUACAAGUUUCCGUAGAGAUGACACAAUGGAGGGUGAUCUGAUUGAGACAAUUGCGCACUUCAAGGAUAUACAAAAAAUCGAUCCAGACUUCUUCUAUAAGGUGAAAUAUGAUGAAGAGGACAGAGUUGUCAACAUAUUUUGGGUGGAUGGCUUAGCUCGAAAAGCUUAUGCGGAGGCGUACCACGAUUGCAUAUCGUUUGACACCACCUACAUGACCAACAUGUACAAUAUGCCGUUCACGCCCUUCAUAGGAAUAAACCGACAUGGCCAAUCUUUCAUGCUGGGUUGCGUGUUUGUGAGGCAGGAGUUGGCAUCGAGCUUUGAUUGGGUCUUUCGAGCAUUCCUAGAGGCUAUGGAUGGCAAACCUCCUAACAACUUCAUCAUCGAUCAGGACGGUGCAAUGAGGCAGUCAAUACAGAGCAUCUUUCCAACCACCGUGCACCGCUGUUGUCGAUGGCACAUCAUGAAAAAGGCUCAGGAAAAGGUUGGUUGGCUGCUGUGCCGGAAUGCUGGACUCUCUGAUGAUUUCAACAAGUGUGUUGACUUCAGCUUCACUAUAGACGAGUGUGGGCUGGGUUAA